CCAAUCAGCAGCAGGUGAGGGGAAACAGCGCUCAGGUAGACAAGCAGGAAAAUAAGAGCUUUGACCGAAAAAAUAAACACCAAUCCCAGGAAAACACAACCUGACGUGAAUGUGACAGAUCGUCACACUAUGCUUGUGUUGUUUUCGGCUGUACGAAUCGUUCAAAUCGCGACAAGAAUAAACAUUUCUUCAGAGUUAAUCAAAAAGGGCGGAAGAGUGCAAGAUUUUACGGAACAACGACGAGAAAAUCUUGCAGUUCACACUCCAGUCCAAGGUACCAGAGUCGAAUAAUGCAGGAGUUUACAGUGAUCACUUUGUUAAAGCCUCAAGAUGACCACUACAAGACCUCGUCUCAUUCCAGACUGCAGUGGUUUCUCCCAAGGUCAACGCGGCUCGGGGGAUGCAGCAGGAGAUCAAACAGCGGACCUGGGGGAUGACAGAUGCAGAUGGAGGAAGGAGAGGAGGGGGGGAAAAAGGCAAUAAAACAUUGCUUCAAAGAUGGUAACUGUGCACUGGGAGGCAAAUUAUUGUUAACAGUAAUCUGCAGAAUGGCGCCUUGCGUUGGGGAUCGAUUGACUAUUAAGGGUCCUUUGAAGGAAGACGAGGUAACACCAGGCUAUUGUUCAUCAUGCUGGCCGGGACUUGCAGAAAAUAACAGCUGCAUGUUUCUGCCUCUACUCGGUGCGCCUACCAACCUUAAAUACAUCUGACUUGUGCAUGCAAUCAUCGUUUCUAAUAGACAAGCAAUUUGGACUCCAUGCUGAUGCCUUAUAGUCACACGUUGCCAUGGAGACAGCCAAGACAAUUUAGGCAUUCAACUAUUUACAUUUUUUUAUUUUUUUUUAGGUCAUCUUUUUUAAAUGAAUAGUAUUCAAAUAUUUAUAUCACAAUGAAAGUAUUUCCUGCAAAACACCACAAUUUUGACACAUGAA
This is a long non-coding RNA of Entelurus aequoreus (snake pipefish), 932 nucleotides long. RefSeq lists it as uncharacterized. NCBI's taxonomy places the organism in Eukaryota, Metazoa, Chordata, Actinopteri, Syngnathiformes, Syngnathidae. The transcript has 3 exons. The record is from RefSeq and is a predicted model, not a curated record.